GAUGAACGCUGGCGGCGUGCCUAAUACAUGCAAGUAGAACGCUGAAGGAGGAGCUUGCUCUUCUGGAUGAGUUGCGAACGGGUGAGUAACGCGUAGGUAACCUGCCUGGUAGCGGGGGAUAACUAUUGGAAACGAUAGCUAAUACCGCAUGACAACAGUUAUUGCAUGAUAACUGUUUAAAAGGGGCAACUGCUCCACUACCAGAUGGACCUGCGUUGUAUUAGCUAGUUGGUGAGGUAACGGCUCACCAAGGCGACGAUACAUAGCCGACCUGAGAGGGUGAUUGGCCACACUGGGACUGAGACACGGCCCAGACUCCUACGGGAGGCAGCAGUAGGGAAUCUUCGGCAAUGGACGGAAGUCUGACCGAGCAACGCCGCGUGAGUGAAGAAGGUUUUCGGAUCGUAAAGCUCUGUUGUAAGAGAAGAACGAGUGUGAGGGUGGAAAGUUCACACUGUGACGGUAUCUUACCAGAAAGGGACGGCUAACUACGUG
Molecule: ribosomal RNA, 495 nt
Filed under: uncultured bacterium
Lineage: Bacteria
Description: partial 16S ribosomal RNA
Rfam family: Bacterial small subunit ribosomal RNA
Source: RNAcentral